GCCCAGGUGGUGAAACUGGCAGACACGUACGGUUCAGGGCCGUAUGAGAGCAAUCUCGUGGGAGUUCAAAUCUCCCCCUGGGCA
Molecule: transfer RNA, 84 nt
Filed under: Candidatus Tayloriibacteriota bacterium
Lineage: Bacteria; Candidatus Tayloriibacteriota
Description: tRNA-Leu
Rfam family: tRNA
About the family: Transfer RNA (tRNA) molecules are approximately 80 nucleotides in length. Their secondary structure includes four short double-helical elements and three loops (D, anti-codon, and T loops).
Source: RNAcentral